GCAAAGUGGCUCUUGCGAAAUGAGGUUAAUAAAGUCAAAGAAAGAAAACUACAAAAUAAAUUAAAAAAGCUGUAGGUUAUAAGUAGGUUGUAAGCCAGGGCCCCACGAAAAGAGAUUCGCCGUUCACACAGGGUUUUCCACUUUUCUAUAUUUCAGGUUUUUUUUAUUUAUAUAUUUUACAGGUAUUUUCCCGUUUCAGGUUUUUUCUAUUUUUUAGUCUAUUUUACAGGUUUCUUUUUUAUUUUUUCUUCUCUUUCAGCUAGCACCCGAGCCUAGAUUUUUAAAGCACUACAAUUUUUUCUUAAUCAUGAUGGAUUGAGAGUAGUGUUUUAAAAAUCAGGUAAAUCGCAAUGACUUAAUCGAUGUCAAUAUCGAAGUCGUGUGAGAAAUUGUUAUAGUAUGAGAACAAUUUCGUAAUUCGUGCUUUCAAAA
This is a long non-coding RNA of Anastrepha obliqua, 432 nucleotides long. RefSeq lists it as uncharacterized. Lineage: Eukaryota; Metazoa; Arthropoda; Insecta; Diptera; Tephritidae. The record is from RefSeq and is a predicted model, not a curated record. The transcript is spliced from 2 exons.